This 76-nucleotide transfer RNA is filed under the name Erysipelothrix sp. Its description in RNAcentral is "tRNA-Val". It matches the Rfam family "tRNA". From Rfam's summary of the family: Transfer RNA (tRNA) molecules are approximately 80 nucleotides in length. Their secondary structure includes four short double-helical elements and three loops (D, anti-codon, and T loops). Further hydrogen bonds mediate the characteristic L-shaped molecular structure. tRNAs have two regions of fundamental functional importance: the anti-codon, which is responsible for specific mRNA codon recognition, and the 3' end, to which the tRNAs corresponding amino acid is attached (by aminoacyl-tRNA synthetases). tRNAs cope with the degeneracy of the genetic code in two manners: having more than one tRNA (with a specific anti-codon) for a particular amino acid; and 'wobble' base-pairing, i.e. permitting non-standard base-pairing at the 3rd anti-codon position. Lineage: Bacteria; Bacillati; Bacillota; Erysipelotrichia; Erysipelotrichales; Erysipelotrichaceae. The record is from RNAcentral.
GGAGGUUUAGCUCAGUUGGGAGAGCAACUGCCUUACAAGCAGUGGGUCAGCGGUUCAAGUCCGUUAACCUCCACCA